Falco peregrinus (peregrine falcon) is the source of this 1693-nucleotide long non-coding RNA. RefSeq lists it as uncharacterized. The transcript is spliced from 2 exons. The record is from RefSeq and is a predicted model, not a curated record. NCBI's taxonomy places the organism in Eukaryota, Metazoa, Chordata, Aves, Falconiformes, Falconidae.
UUGAAAAAUUCUCCGUUCAUAAAUCAACUGAACUGCAGGUGAUCCCUGGGCGGGAGCAGCUGAGGAAAAGACACAGCUCGGCAGGCCAGCAACUAGGAGCCCCCGCCCCCCCAGCAGCAGUGGGGCUGGGGGGCAGGUUGGCUCUGGGUGAGGCUGGGAUUGGUGUCCAUGUCCCCAGGGCUGCAUGCUGGGGACUUUGGGGCAGGAAAAGGAGCUGCCACCUUGGGAUGGGCUUCUCAGUGCUGGCAGCAUCCCUGCACGGGCAGGGGAUGGUCGUGGCUGGAAAAAUCUCCCCCCACAAGCCAGCUCCUGCAGCAUCUUGCUGUGGGCAAGAUGGGGACCAGUUUGGACAAACCCAGGUGUGCUUUCCUCACUGCCCCCUCUCUGCCGGUCCGUGAGCUGAGAUGUGACCCUGUGGACACCGAAAAGGAGCUUGUGCCCUUGAGAUGCAUGGACGGCUCCAAGGACCAGGCUGGUGGCAGCAGGCUGAGCCUUACAGUGGAGGAAAGGAUCCGGUCAUUGUCCCCACACUGAGAAAGCCAGGCAGGAUUGUGUGUCCCCCUCUGCUGCUAUCUGUCCCCCCUUCCACAACUUGCCUGUCAUCUUGUCUUUUGGCAGAGCUGGAAAACUGGGAGACCACCGUAAAUAAAUCCUGUGUCUUUAAGCCGUUUUGUACAGUACAAGAAAAUGCACUCGUUGAAUUACAGCUUUUUAAUCAAAUACAUGUAACCAUGUCACUUAAAGUGCUCGUGAAAAGCAGGGGGAGAAAAAAAACCCCAACACAAUUGGAAGAGCACAAUAUUAAAACCAGCUGCUUGCUUACCCCCACCACAGUUAAUAGUUUUUGAAUGUUCUGAAUGAGAGAGAAACCAGAGCCAAGCUCCACUUUCAUGUCCAUCUUUCUGAUCAAACCCUGUCAGACGGGGGGAGCCGGGCAGCCUGGCACAGAGGCAGGGGAUGCGGGAGGGCUGCGCUUGCCUCUCCUGCCGCUUCUCCCGUCCCCUCAGGCUUUCUCCCCAUGGUGAUGGGGAUGUGGGAAUCCGUGGUUUUCCUGCAGGCAAAGCAGCACAGCCCGGCUGGGACCCAGCCUGGAGAUGGGAGCACAGGUUGCCCAAGCCUUGUGGUGGUGAAGGAUGCUGCCCUGGGACAUCACCGCCGCGUUGCAUGUCCCCCCCUGCCAAGUUCAACCCAACUCCACCUCCUGAUGCUUCUUCCUGCAAGCUGGCAUUGCCGCUCAUCCCCUGCGGGUGCUGAGGCGCCGCGGUGCCCGCAGCAUCCUUUCCUCCGAGCGUGCCGGCGCAGUCCCUCGUGCCACGUCCUUGUGCCCAGUUCCCUUGGGGCACACAUGUUGGGACCACCUCGACGUCUACCUCCGGCCUCGCUGGCCACCAACCCCCCCCAGCACAGCCUGCCAACCACCUCGAGCUGUGCGGUUCCCCCGUAACGUGGACCAACGCUCAUUAAGCGUGAGGCAGAGACCACCAAAUAUGUCAAAACACACUUAAAAUUUAUUGUUUCAUACCAUACAUUUGAGUCUCUUGAACGCUGGCCAGUGUUUCUCCCUCUCCACGAUGGGGCCUAUCUGCUGUCACCGAUGCUUUGCAUAUAUGUAUAGCCGGCUUGCUUUCUAUCUUUUUUUUUUCUCCUCCUUCUUUCUUUAAAUGAAAAAUACAAACAAUUGAUGGAAAAUGUA